Molecule: ribosomal RNA, 465 nt
Filed under: Vreelandella stevensii
Lineage: Bacteria; Pseudomonadati; Pseudomonadota; Gammaproteobacteria; Oceanospirillales; Halomonadaceae
Description: partial 16S ribosomal RNA
Rfam family: Bacterial small subunit ribosomal RNA
Source: RNAcentral
CCUACGUGAUGCUGCAGUGGGGAAUAUUGGACAAUGGGCGAAAGCCUGAUCCAGCCAUGCCGCGUGUGUGAAGAAGGCCUUCGGGUUGUAAAGCACUUUCAGUGGGGAAGAAAGCCUUGGGGCUAAUACCCUCGAGGAAGGACAUCACCCACAGAAGAAGCACCGGCUAACUCCGUGCCAGCAGCCGCGGUAAUACGGAGGGUGCGAGCGUUAAUCGGAAUUACUGGGCGUAAAGCGCGCGUAGGCGGUCUGAUAAGCCGGUUGUGAAAGCCCCGGGCUCAACCUGGGAACGGCAUCCGGAACUGUCAGGCUAGAGUGCAGGAGAGGAAGGUAGAAUUCCCGGUGUAGCGGUGAAAUGCGUAGAGAUCGGGAGGAAUACCAGUGGCGAAGGCGGCCUUCUGGACUGACACUGACGCUGAGGUGCGAAAGCGUGGGUAGCAAACAGGAUUAGAUACCCUGGUAGUC